UUCCGGUUGAUCCUGCCGGACCUGACUGCUAUCGGAUUGAUACUAAGCCAUGCGAGUCAUUGUAGCAAUACAAGGCAUACGGCUCAGUAACGCGUAGUCAACCUAACCUAUGGACGGGAAUAACCUCGGGAAACUGAGAAUAAUGCCCGAUAGAACAUUAUGCCUGGAAUGGUUUAUGUUCCAAAUGAUUUAUCGCCGUAGGAUGGGACUGCGGCCUAUCAGUUUGUUGGUGAGGUAAUGGCCCACCAAGACUAUUACAGGUACGGGCUCUGAGAGGAGUAGCCCGGAGAUGGGUACUGAGACACGGACCCAGGCCCUAUGGGGCGCAGCAGGCGAGAAAACUUUGCAAUGUGCGAAAGCACGACAAGGUUAAUCCGAGUGGUUUCUGCUAAAGGAACCUUUUGUCAGUCCUAGAAACACUGAUGAAUAAGGGGUGGGCAAGUUCUGGUGUCAGCCGCCGCGGUAAAACCAGCACCUCAAGUGGUCAGGAUGAUUAUUGGGCCUAAAGCAUCCGUAGCCGGCUCUGUAAGUUUUCGGUUAAAUCUGUACGCUCAACGUACAGGCUGCCGGGAAUACUGCAAAGCUAGGGAGUGGGAGAGGUAGACGGUACUCGGUAGGAAGGGGUAAAAUCCUUUGAUCUAUUGAUGACC
This 650-nucleotide ribosomal RNA is filed under the name uncultured archaeon. RNAcentral's name for it is "bacterial SSU rRNA". It matches the Rfam family "Archaeal small subunit ribosomal RNA", at positions 1 to 658 of the family's 1478-position model. The record is from RNAcentral.